This 397-nucleotide ribosomal RNA is filed under the name Mesalina watsonana. RNAcentral describes it as "partial 16S ribosomal RNA". It matches the Rfam family "Bacterial large subunit ribosomal RNA", at positions 1979 to 2584 of the family's 2925-position model. The record is from RNAcentral. Lineage: Eukaryota; Metazoa; Chordata; Lepidosauria; Squamata; Lacertidae.
AAUAGGGACUAGUAUGAACGGCUAAAUGAGGAUUAAACUGUCUCUUGUAGCCAACCCAUGAAACUGAUCUCAUAGUCCAAAAGCUAUGAUAACCACACUAGACGAGAAGACCCUGUGGAGCUUCAAAACCCAAGGCAAACCUAUGUCCCCUCGGUUUUUAGUUGGGGCAACUUCGGAACAAAAACCAACCUCCGACAAACACAAAAUCAAAACCAACAAGUUAAAACUUAACCACUUGACCCAAUAGAGAACCUCUAUUUGAUCAAUGAACUAAGUUACCCCAGGGAUAACAGCGCCAUCCUCUUUCAGAGUCCCUAUCGACAAGAGGGUUUACGACCUCGAUGUUGGAUCAGGACACCCUAAUGGUGCAGCCGCUAUUAAAGGUUCGUUUGUUCAA